Long non-coding RNA from Megalobrama amblycephala (Wuchang bream), 1293 nucleotides. RefSeq lists it as uncharacterized. The record is from RefSeq and is a predicted model, not a curated record. The transcript is spliced from 4 exons. Lineage: Eukaryota; Metazoa; Chordata; Actinopteri; Cypriniformes; Xenocyprididae.
AAACGCUUACAAAGUUUAAAUUGUUUUGAACCAUGGUAACUUGUCUUGUCAUUGGGAAAACAGGAGUGUGACCGGCGUCUGACAGCAGCAGAAGAGGAAGGGGAGUGGAAGGACAUGCAGUGACCUUCUGUUCUCUGAGGAGGAUAAACCUGAGCAGACACACCUUGACCUCUAAUCUCACACGUCUCUAUAUACAGUAUGCGGUGUUUGAUAGAUCUUUACAUACAGAAUCUUCUCAACAUUUAUGCUCCAUCACUGUGCUCUCCACCCAUGUGGCCCUCAAAUUCUAUAUUCCCUCUUUAUACGACCCCUGAGGAUCUCAGUGGAGACUGAUAAAAAAUAUUUGGUGCCAGAGCGGUCUUGGGUGGACCCAGCAUCAAAGGGCAGUCAUGGCUCCAGCUGGGUGGCCACCGGCCUCUUAUUUCCUCCCACAUGCUCUCCUGCCAUUCAUUCUGAUCCAGGCCCCGUCAGGGCUGAGCGGACCCAUGGGAUCCGACCAACGGGACCGCUCAUGGCCACUUCCUGGUCAUUUAAGACCUGUGCCGCAGAAUGGAGGGCCAUUGUCCAGACUGUUAUCUGAUGGCCCGAGCCAAAAGGCAGACAAAGCCAAGUGCCUGGAGACUCACCCCUUCCGCUCUGCUGAGGAUACAGUGCUUUUUUUAAAGCAUGGCGAUGGAUGAUUAAAAAGAGGUAGACAGGUGAUGGGCCGCCAUACAGAGCUGGCAUUGUGUGUCUCAUCAAAGAGAGAGUUGUUGAAGAAGCUGUGCUGUUCUGGACUAUCAUACACAUCAGUGCAGGUGUGCAGAGGGGGAUGGUGGCAGGACCGCUCACAUUUCAGACAUGCUUAUUCUGCUACAAGAACGUAUAAGCCUGUGCAAAUAUAUCAUCUGUCAUUCUACAGAGUUCAGUCUUAUGAUGAACAUUAAACUCAGUUGAUUUAUUAUGUGAGACUAAGAUUGUGAAUAUUGCAACAGGCCUAUGUGAACCACUUACUGUGUAGAUUCACUGGUUCAGGAUUGACUCAGCACUGCUCUCUGCUGGACAACAACUUGCAAUACAGACCAUUGAAACUUGUUCCUCUGAGGACUGCAUUUUUAUAUGAAUCAAAAUCUUGGUUAAUUGAGAUAUUAAAUACAGUCAGUUUAAAAAUUAACCAUUCCAAAUUCAACACUACAAAUACUUAAAGUAUUUAAAGUAUUAAUAAUGAAAGCAUUUAACUAGUAUAAUUGCAGCAAUAAACACUUGAAUAUGAACAUUUUUUUAAAUGCUAAAUUUAACAAAUGACAAAAACAG